RNAcentral lists this ribosomal RNA (1443 nucleotides) under uncultured organism. RNAcentral describes it as "SSU rRNA". It matches the Rfam family "Bacterial small subunit ribosomal RNA". The record is from RNAcentral.
GCGGCGUGCUUAACACAUGCAAGUCGAACGGAAAGGCCCUGCUUUUGUGGGGUGCUCGAGUGGCGAACGGGUGAGUAACACGUGAGUAACCUGCCCUUGACUUUGGGAUAACUUCAGGAAACUGGGGCUAAUACCGGAUAGGAGCUCCUGCUGCAUGGUGGGGGUUGGAAAGUUUCGGCGGUUGGGGAUGGACUCGCGGCUUAUCAGCUUGUUGGUGGGGUAGUGGCUUACCAAGGCUUUGACGGGUAGCCGGCCUGAGAGGGUGACCGGCCACAUUGGGACUGAGAUACGGCCCAGACUCCUACGGGAGGCAGCAGUGGGGAAUAUUGCACAAUGGGCGGAAGCCUGAUGCAGCAACGCCGCGUGCGGGAUGACGGCCUUCGGGUUGUAAACCGCUUUCGCCUGUGACGAAGCGUGAGUGACGGUAAUGGGUAAAGAAGCACCGGCUAACUACGUGCCAGCAGCCGCGGUGAUGCGUAGGGUGCGAGCGUUGUCCGGAUUUAUUGGGCGUAAAGGGCUCGUAGGUGGUUGAUCGCGUCGGAAGUGUAAUCUUGGGGCUUAACCCUGAGCGUGCUUUCGAUACGGGUUGACUUGAGGAAGGUAGGGGAGAAUGGAAUUCCUGGUGGAGCGGUGGAAUGCGCAGAUAUCAGGAGGAACACCAGUGGCGAAGGCGGUUUCUCUGGGCCUUUCCUGACGCUGAGGAGCGAAAGCGUGGGGAGCGAACAGGCUUAGAUACCCUGGUAGUCCACGCUGUAAACGGUGGGUACUAGGUGUGGGGUCCAUUCCACGGGUUCCGUGCCGUAGCUAACGCUUUAAGUACCCCGCCUGGGGAGUACGGCCGCAAGGCUAAAACUCAAAGGAAUUGACGGGGCCCCGCACAAGCGGCGGAGCAUGCGGAUUAAUUCGAUGCAACGCGUAGAACCUUACCUGGGUUUGACAUGGAUCGGGAGCGCUCAGAGAUGGGUGUGCCUCUUUUGGGGUCGGUUCACAGGUGGUGCAUGGCUGUCGUCAGCUCGUGUCGUGAGAUGUUGGGUUAAGUCCCGCAACGAGCGCAACCCUUGUUCACUGUUGUCAGCACGUUAUGGUGGGGACUCAGUGGAGACCGCCGGGGUCAACUCGGAGGAAGGUGGGGAUGACGUCAAGUCAUCAUGCCCCUUAUGUCCAGGGCUUCACGCAUGCUACAAUGGCUGGUACAGAGAGUGGCGAGCCUGUGAGGGUGAGCGAAUCUCGGAAAGCCGGUCUCAGUUCGGAUUGGGGUCUGCAACUCGACCUCAUGAAGUCGGAGUCGCUAGUAAUCGCAGAUCAGCAACGCUGCGGUGAAUACGUUCCCGGGGCUUGUACACACCGCCCGUCAAGUCAUGAAAGUUGGUAACACCCGAAGCCGGUGGCCUAACCGUUGUGGGGGAGCCGUCGAAGGUGGGACUGGUGAUUAGGACUAAGUCG